UACGUAGGGGGCAAGCGUUGUCCGGAUUUAUUGGGCGUAAAGAGCGUGUAGGCGGCCAGGUAGGUCAGCUGUGAAAACUCGAGGCUCAACCUCGAGACGUCGGUUGAAACCACCUGGCUAGAGUCCGGAAGAGGAGAGUGGAAUUCCUGGUGUAGCGGUGAAAUGCGCAGAUAUCAGGAAGAACACCCGUGGUGAAGGCGGCUCUCUGGGACGGUACUGACGCUGAGACGCGAAAGCGUGGGGAGCGAACAGG
RNAcentral lists this ribosomal RNA (253 nucleotides) under uncultured bacterium. RNAcentral describes it as "partial 16S ribosomal RNA". It matches the Rfam family "Bacterial small subunit ribosomal RNA", at positions 524 to 776 of the family's 1533-position model. The record is from RNAcentral.